GGAGGUGUAGCUCAGUGGCAGAGCACAUGCUUAGCAUGCACAAGGUCCUGGCUUCAAUCCCCAGUACCUCCA
This 72-nucleotide transfer RNA is filed under the name Camelus bactrianus (Bactrian camel). It matches the Rfam family "tRNA". From Rfam's summary of the family: Transfer RNA (tRNA) molecules are approximately 80 nucleotides in length. Their secondary structure includes four short double-helical elements and three loops (D, anti-codon, and T loops). Further hydrogen bonds mediate the characteristic L-shaped molecular structure. tRNAs have two regions of fundamental functional importance: the anti-codon, which is responsible for specific mRNA codon recognition, and the 3' end, to which the tRNAs corresponding amino acid is attached (by aminoacyl-tRNA synthetases). tRNAs cope with the degeneracy of the genetic code in two manners: having more than one tRNA (with a specific anti-codon) for a particular amino acid; and 'wobble' base-pairing, i.e. permitting non-standard base-pairing at the 3rd anti-codon position. RNAcentral also lists the same sequence under 3 other names. Lineage: Eukaryota; Metazoa; Chordata; Mammalia; Artiodactyla; Camelidae. The record is from Rfam by way of RNAcentral.